Triticum urartu is the source of this 2233-nucleotide non-coding RNA. NCBI's taxonomy places the organism in Eukaryota, Viridiplantae, Streptophyta, Magnoliopsida, Poales, Poaceae. The record is from RefSeq and is a predicted model, not a curated record.
GUGUCUCUCCCACGACCCAACUCUAACCAUCUCUGACCAAUAACUAUCUAAAAGGGAUAAAACUCUCACGUAUAUCUCUCCGGAGAGCCAAAUCUCUCAAAUUGUUAUGGUAGAGGUUUAAAUCUAACCUAGCAGCCUCCGUUUCCUUCCAUGGUUUCUACUGUCCAAGACCUCCGAUCGAUGGCAGUUGAUCGUUCUUCCCUCCUCCGGCUAGAGCACGACCAAGGAACGACGCCUUCCAGUUUGAAGCCUACAUCGCUGGCUCUCCAUUUGAUCCACCCAUCACAAGGUAUUGCUUAUUUGUGUGAUUUGGAGCCAAGGAGACAACAAUCCAUGAUAGCUCAUGGCUUCAUAUGCAAUUUCGUUCAAAUCUUUAGUCCCUGGCGAGUUUGACCAAGAUCUGAUGGAUUAGUUACUCUCUCUCUUAUCACACGUGCUGAUUUCUCUAUGCUGAGUUUGACCAAGAUCUGAUGGAUUAGUUACUCUCUCUCUUAUCACACGUGCUGAUUUAUCUAUGCUGAUUUGUCACAUGCAUAUUUACUUGAACCAUUCUUACUAUUACAGUGGCACAACUAAUCACGUAUAGUUAUCUACCGAUGCAUAUUGGCUCAUCCGAAAGAAAAUUGUUCAUCCACCAUACUGGGUUUAUUGCGACUUUGCGAGUCCAAUACUGGCGGUGCCGAGUCCAAUACCGACUGCUCUGUUGCUUCUCAUCGCUGGCAUGUGUAUGGCGCCAUGCCAGUAUGCAACAACAAUCCUGGUGCCCGUAUGAAUAACUCUUGAUGUAGGUAUAUGUUGAAUCUCUAGUCUGCACACGAUCUUUCUUGAUUAGGCAUAGCAUGCGUGCAAUGGAGAAAUAUUAAUAUAAUGUAAUAAAAGAAACAUGUGUGUAUAUACUGUUUGCAUCCGAGUUGAAGUGUUUUGGUCAUGUUUUAUUUUGCACGGUGGUCAUCGACCGGUUAUAGGUUGCUCCAGGCCUCGAAGGCCCCGCGGUACUGCUCCUCCACAUGGAGAGCUGAUGGUGCUGCUGCUCCUCGGCACCUUUGAGCGGUCUGUUAAUAGGAGGCGUGAGGCGAGCUGCAAGACUUCACGGCACCUUUGAGUGGUCUGCUAAUAGAAGGCAUGAGGCGAGCUGCAAGAUUUCAGGCACAUAAACAGCGCAAUGGCAAGAGCUAUAUAAUAUCACAUUGAUAUUCUGGACCCCGCAGGAGAAUAUAUAUUUAAGUGGUGUACAUGUACUAUGUAUAACUAGAAGAAGAUUACUAUAUUUGUGACUACACUAGAAAUUUAUAGUUGUUGCAUCACGUGGUUAGUUUACAAUAUCACGGUGGUGGUCAUCGACCAGUUAUAGGGUGCUCCAGUGCUCGAAGGCCCGGCGGUACUGCUCCUCGACAGGGAGAGCUGAUGGUGUUGCUGCUCCUCGGCACCUUGGAGCGGUCUGCUAAUAUGAGGCGUGAGGCGAGCUGCAAGACUUCAGGCACACAAACAGCACAACAGCAAGAGCUAUACAAUAUCACAUUGAUACAUAUUCUGCACCCCGCAGGAGACAUUAUAUAUUUAAGUGGUGUAUAUCUACUAUAUAUACCUACAAGAUUACCUAUGUUUGCGACUCUACAAGUACUGGAAAAAAAUUUGAACUAGAAAUUUAUAGAUCCUGCAUCACGUGAUUCUAUUCCUAAAUGGUUCAUGGCUACACGUCCCGUUUUCAGGAUUAUUCUGUCCAUGCCUUGGCUUUCACCUAGAUGGACAAGAGUUUGUUCUUUAGUGAGACGCCCAGCUGCAAGUUGUUGUUUGACCAGUUGUGAGGUGUCUCAGAGGCACCAAAUGGAUGUUCAUAAUGUUGAUCUAUCUACAUAUCAUGUGGUACACGGCCCAGAAAGAAGCAGUACGAUGGUUGGUCCAAAACUAAGCUCAUUCUUAGCAUGGGAUCACUGCCGAGAUUUCUUUCUCUUGACAAGCAGCAUCAUUGCUUACACCAGGAGUUCUUUAGCGACGGCAAAGAGUCGAGGUGCAGCAAUACUGAUGCAUCAUGCAAUGCCAAGUGAACAAAUGGUGUCUCUCGGGAAAUUACGGGGACGGAUACGAGCACUACGUACCGUUGUCCUACUAUUAAGAAGUUAUAUUGCUGUUUCUCAUCAAGACAUUGUUUAAUAAGGAAAACCAUUUUCUUAUGAAAAAAAUCCAUGUGGCAACAUGGUUCAUCUAAUAUUAUUCUUGAAGCGAACUGAUUCAU